Erinaceus europaeus (western European hedgehog) is the source of this 2145-nucleotide long non-coding RNA. RefSeq lists it as uncharacterized. The record is from RefSeq and is a predicted model, not a curated record. The transcript has 3 exons. Lineage: Eukaryota; Metazoa; Chordata; Mammalia; Eulipotyphla; Erinaceidae.
CUUAUAUUUAUUUUUAAGGCAAUCUAAGAAUAUAUCCAUAUAAUACACACACAUAUUUUCACAACUUUAAAAUUUAACAAUAUAUAGUGUCAUGUUUUAAUAUCAACACUUAUCUGUAGCAUCUGAAGUGGCUGGAUAAACUUUCAUAUAUGACUAUACCAGCAUAUACAUAACUCACCUGGUACAUACAUUUAAGUGGUUCCCAAUUACCCAAUUAUAAAAAGUGUCAUGAUGAACAUCUUUGGCGUUAAAACUCUUGGACACUGUUAUUUACUUAACAUAAAUCCCUAGAAAUAAAACGUCAUAUAUAUAUAUAUAAUUUUUAUUUAUUUAUUGGAUAGAGACAGCCAGAAGUUGAGAGGAAGGGGGAGAUAGGGAGGGAGAGAGACAGAGACACCUGCAGUCCUGCUUUACCACUUGCAAAGCUUUGUCCCUGCAGGUGGGGACUGGGGGCUCAAUCCUGGGUCCUUGUGCACUGUAACGUGCGCUCACCCAGGUGCCCAACCACCCGGACCCGAAAUAAAACUUCUAUGACAAAACACUGCACAUGUUCUGAAGGACCUAAAAAACACUAUCUCUACAAUAAGUCUAUAGUUUUAUUUACUUGGAUUAUAUACAUAUCAAGUGCUUUUAAAAGCAUUUUCAUGCUUUUUAAAAAUCUCUAAUUAACUUUACUUAUUGGAUAGAGACAGUCAGGAAUCAAGAGGGAAAAGGAGAUAGAGAGGAGAGAGAGAGAGAGACACCUGCAGCCCUGCUUCACCACUCGUGAAGCUUUCUCUCUGCAGGUGGGGACUGGGGACUUGAACCUGGGUCCUUGAGCAUUGUAAUAUGUGCGCUCAACCAGGUUUGCCACCACCUGGCCCCUCAUUUUCAUGAUUUUCAUGAAAAGAAACUGUCUGGGAAAACUUGGGCUGGCUAAGUAUGAUAGGUGCAGUCAGACCUACACUUCUGAUGUCCGUUAACGAUAGAUGUUUAAAGCACCAAAACAAUUUUAUACUAGGAGUCCACUGUUCAGAAACAUCCAGCUAUAGUGGAAUUGUACAUUUUGUCAUUUUAAAUUUCUUUGUGAUCUGACGCCUUUUAAACUUCCGUGUGUGUUAAAUAUUUUAAUUUUAUUUUUUGUUUUCAGUUUUUUUUCAUUUUUAAAAAAUUUAAUUAGAUACAUCCAUUAGAAAAUUUAUCUUAUAAGUUAUGCUCCCAAUAGAUGCCAGAGUCAGUUUGACAUUGUAAUGAAAUGACAUCUGAAGCUCAAAUUCCACAAGUACCGCAAGACUAAGGAGAGGAGGUUGAAUGGGCUGUAACAUGCACAUGUUCUCUGUAAAACAUUUUAUUUACUCAUUUUUAUUCCACCUGAUUCCAAAUUGGAGUUACAGCAGUUUUUCAUUUUAAAUGUGUUUUCUAAAUUGGACAUUCUCACAUCAUUAAGCCUGCCAAAUUCUUCCCUAGCAUAAGGACAUUCCUCUAUCAUAACUGCUUUGUUCUAUUUGGAGACUGAGUGGCGAGGAUAUUGUUCUUGUCUGGAGGAGAGGUAAAAAUAACUCAUUACGGCUGUGGGUCCUGCCCGGAAGACUGUCCCCCUCUCCAAAGCAGACUGACACUGGGUCUGCAGCUCCCAAGAGAAGAUCAGGAAGAACUCCAUUUCAAAGAUGCACAAAAGCUUCUAAGAGUCACAAAAAGGUGCUGUGUCUUCAGGGAGAAGGUCCCAGGAACAGUCUAGAACUUUAAGAGAGACUUCAUAGCAAGUCCUGGUUCCAGAUGCCAUCAGGAUGCUGGCCAGGCUUCCCUGGACUGAAGACCCCACCAAUGUGCCCUGGAGCUCAGCUUCCCCAGAGACCCACCCUACUAGAGAAAGAGAGAGGCAGACUGGGAGUAUGGAUGGACCAGUCAACGUCCAUGUUCAGCGGGGAAGCAAUUACAGAAGCCAGACCUUCCACCUUCUGCAAGCCACAAUGACCCUGGGUCCAUGCUCUCAGAGAGAUGGAGAAUGGGAAAGCUAUAGUGGAGGGGAUGAGAUAUGGAGAUUGGGUGGUGGGAAUUGUGUGUAGUUGUACUCCUUCUAUCCUAUGGUUUUGUUAAUUUAUCCUUUCUUUAAAAAAAAAUAGUUAACAUCUUAAAAAAAAAAAAAAAGCAAAACUCAGGGGCAGG